This 253-nucleotide ribosomal RNA is filed under the name uncultured bacterium. Its description in RNAcentral is "partial 16S ribosomal RNA". It matches the Rfam family "Bacterial small subunit ribosomal RNA", at positions 524 to 776 of the family's 1533-position model. The record is from RNAcentral.
UACGGAGGGUGCGAGCGUUAAUCGGAAUUACUGGGCGUAAAGCGCACGCAGGCGGUUUGUUAAGCUAGAUGUGAAAGCCCCGGGCUCAACCUGGGAUGGUCAUUUAGAGCUGGCAGACUAGAGUCUUGGAGAGGGGAGUGGAAUUCCAGGUGUAGCGGUGAAAUGCGUAGAUAUCUGGAGGAACAUCAGUGGCGAAGGCGACUCCCUGGCCAAAGACUGACGCUCAUGUGCGAAAGUGUGGGUAGCGAACAGG